This 253-nucleotide unclassified non-coding RNA is filed under the name fungal sp. Its description in RNAcentral is "partial internal transcribed spacer region". The stretch from base 1 to 46 matches the Rfam family "Eukaryotic small subunit ribosomal RNA", at positions 1786 to 1831 of the family's 1831-position model. Lineage: Eukaryota; Fungi. The record is from RNAcentral.
AAGUCGUAACAAGGUUUCCGUAGGUGAACCUGCGGAAGGAUCAUUACCAAACAAAAGAGUGCCUCCUUGUAGCAAGCAGGCUGGGGGUUUCCAUCGCGUGCUUGCUGCGCCUUGGCCUUGGCCUCCAUGCCCCUUGCUACGUCCUUCCAUUUUGCCAAACAAACCAGCAUGUCGCAUGUCGGUGGCAUCCCCUUGUCGGGAUCGCCCUUACACACAUUAAACAUAACUUUCAACAACGGAUCUCUUGGCUCUC